Molecule: ribosomal RNA, 507 nt
Filed under: uncultured bacterium
Lineage: Bacteria
Description: partial 16S ribosomal RNA
Rfam family: Bacterial small subunit ribosomal RNA
Source: RNAcentral
GACGAACGCUGGCGGCGUGCUUAACACAUGCAAGUCGAACGGGCCUUGUCCCCUUUUUUUUGGGGGUGGGGUUAGUGGCGAACGGGUGAGUAACACGUGAGUAACCUGCCCCUCACUUCUGGAUAACCGCUUGAAAGGGUGGCUAAUACGGGGUGUUCUGGCCUGCUCGCAUGGGUGGGUUUGGAAAGAUUCGACCGGUUUUGGUUGUUUUGGUGGGGGAUGGGCUCGCGGCCUAUCAGCUUGUUGGUGGGGUGAUGGCCUGCCAAGGCUUUGACGGGUAGCCGGGCUGGGGGGGUGGGCGGUCACACUGGGACUGAGGGACGGCCCAGACUCCUACGGGAGGCAGCAGUGGGGAAUAUUGCACAAUGGGCGCAAGCCUGAUGCAGCGACGCCGCGUGAGGGAUGGAGGCCUUCGGGUUGUGAACCUCUUUCGGCAGGGAAGAAGGUCCUGCUCUUUGUGGUGGGGUUGACGGUAGCUGGGUUAAUGAAGCGCCGGCUAACUACGUG